GACGAACGCUGGCGGCGUGCUUAACACAUGCAAGUCGAACGGAAAGGCCCUGCUUUUUUGGUGUGCUCGAGUGGCGAACGGGUGAGUAACACGUGAGUAACCUGCCCUUGACUUUGGGAUAACUUCAGGAAACUGGGGCUAAUACCGGAUAGGAGCUCCUGCUGCAUGGUGGGGGUUGGAAAGUUUCGGCGGUUGGGGAUGGACUCGCGGCUUAUCAGCUUGUUGGUGGGGUAGUGGCUUACCAAGGCUUUGACGGGUAGCCGGCCUGAGAGGGUGACCGGCCACAUUGGGACUGAGAUACGGCCCAGACUCCUACGGGAGGCAGCAGUGGGGAAUAUUGCACAAUGGGCGGAAGCCUGAUGCAGCAACGCCGCGUGCGGGAUGACGGCCUUCGGGUUGUAAACCGCUUUCGCCUGUGACGAAGCGUGAGUGACGGUAAUGGGUAAAGAAGCACCGGCUAACUACGUG
Molecule: ribosomal RNA, 468 nt
Filed under: uncultured bacterium
Lineage: Bacteria
Description: partial 16S ribosomal RNA
Rfam family: Bacterial small subunit ribosomal RNA
Source: RNAcentral